This is a microRNA precursor of Medicago truncatula (barrel medic), 216 nucleotides long. It matches the Rfam family "MIR2619 microRNA precursor family". The record is from Rfam. Lineage: Eukaryota; Viridiplantae; Streptophyta; Magnoliopsida; Fabales; Fabaceae.
AAACCGCUCCCUAAGUAUUGACUUUUUUGUAGUUUUUGCCCCCCAUGCCAAUUCUGACCAAGUGACGUGGAUGCCACACAUAUAUAUAUAAUUUAUUUUUUAAUUAUUAAAAAAUAAAAAAUAUAUACACACGUGGCGUCCAUGUGUGCAUUUACUCUGUCAAAACUGGUCUGGGGGGCCAAAACUGCAAAAAAGUCAAUACUUAAGGGGCGGUUU